CCUACGGGGAAGCAGCAGUAGGGAAUCUUCCACAAUGGACGAAAGUCUGAUGGAGCAACGCCGCGUGAACGAUGAAGGCUUUCGGGUCGUAAAGUUCUGUUGUAAGGGAAGAACAAGUGCCGCAGGCAAUGGCGGCACCUUGACGGUACCUUGCGAGAAAGCCACGGCUAACUACGUGCCAGCAGCCGCGGUAAUACGUAGGUGGCAAGCGUUGUCCGGAAUUAUUGGGCGUAAAGCGCGCGCAGGCGGCCUCUUAAGUUUGAUGUGAAAGCCCCCGGCUCAACCGGGGAGGGCCAUUGGAAACUGGGAGGCUUGAGUAUAGGAGAGAAGAGUGGAAUUCCACGUGUAGCGGUGAAAUGCGUAGAGAUGUGGAGGAACACCAGUGGCGAAGGCGACUCUUUGGCCUAUAACUGACGCUGAGGCGCGAAAGCGUGGGGAGCAAACAGGAUUAGAUACCCUGGUAGUCCACGCCGUAAACGAUGAGUGCUAGGUGUUGGAGGGUUUCCGCCCUUCAGUGCUGAAGCUAACGCAUAAGCACUCCGCCUGGCAGACUCACUAACCUU
This 563-nucleotide ribosomal RNA is filed under the name uncultured bacterium. Its description in RNAcentral is "bacterial SSU rRNA". It matches the Rfam family "Bacterial small subunit ribosomal RNA", at positions 338 to 1533 of the family's 1533-position model. The record is from RNAcentral.